Molecule: non-coding RNA, 83 nt
Organism: Dicentrarchus labrax (European seabass)
Lineage: Eukaryota; Metazoa; Chordata; Actinopteri; Moronidae
Source: the annotation of a RefSeq genome assembly
ACCAGGAUGGCCGAGUGGUUAAGGCGCUACACUCAAGAUGCCAUGGACGUGAGUCCUCGUGGGUUCAAAUCCCACUCCUGGUA